RNAcentral lists this transfer RNA (75 nucleotides) under Candidatus Pacebacteria bacterium CG_4_10_14_0_2_um_filter_40_20. Its description in RNAcentral is "tRNA-Glu". It matches the Rfam family "tRNA". Rfam says of the family: Transfer RNA (tRNA) molecules are approximately 80 nucleotides in length. Their secondary structure includes four short double-helical elements and three loops (D, anti-codon, and T loops). RNAcentral also lists the same sequence under 3 other names. The record is from RNAcentral. Lineage: Bacteria; Bacillati; Minisyncoccota.
GGCCCCAUCGUCUAUCGGUUAGGACACCAGGUUUUCAUCCUGGGAAGCGCGGUUCGACUCCGCGUGGGGUCACAA